AGGUGAUGUAAUUCCCCUUGGGAGUGUAGCAUCAAGCAGAUGAAUUGGGCGCAUUGCAUCUGAUUCAGCCUCUUGAGGAGAAAGACUUCAUACUGAUCCAAAUAGACUCCCGAGAGGCAGAAAGAGGAAAAUGAUAAAUAAAUGCCAGCCAAGCUCUAAAAUGGAACACUCUAGCUGUGUGGCCACGGAGAAAGAACUGAUCAGAGAAGCCUGAGAUGCUCACCUUAAUAUGUGUUUCCUGGCCUGAAGGGCAAUUCCUACCUUGAGAGAGGGUUUUUCCUCUUCAUGGAUAACCUUCUUGCUGAGAAGACACUUCCUGGCUGGUUGAUUCUUCUGAGCGAUUGCCCAGUGCAGACUGGGACCAUCACUACUCCACCCCUGCCUCAUUCAGCCCCAUGAGGUCCACCUCAUCUCUGUGCAGAACCUUCCUCCUCUAUCUGAACCUAGUCUUGGAAUGGACUUCCACUGAAGUAAUCACCUAGAAACUGAGAAGCAGGAAAACAGUUGGACCUCACAAGUGACAUUUUUUGCUCCAUACCUUGACUCUGGGAAAAGUGUUAUGAAAGAGAAAACUGUGGAAGCAAGCAUGCCUGGACUAACUCUGGCCCUUACCAAGUGAUAACCUUGACCAAGUUGCAUAGACUCUCUGAGUCUCACAUCUACCAUCCAUAAAAUGGAGACAAUGAUACCUAUUACACAGAGUUGGGGUGAGGAUUCAGUGAAAUCUGUCUAUAAAUUGCCUAACACAGAGCUUAGUUUAGGAAUCGAAGUAAUUACACAGCAUUUGUAUGAACUUGCAUGACCUUGGGCAAGUCACUUUACCUGCCUUGGCCUUAAUUUUCUUUUUGAUACUAUUAACUCCUGCCCUGCUUUCUAGUCACUAGUUAUUCAUAAACAUGUCUCCUAUACUAAAAUGUAAGCAACUUGAGAAUAGAGAAAAUUUUAUUUUUUGUUUUUUGCAUAUGUGAAAUCUUUUUGCACAAGUGAAAAAGGGUCAUAGCACUUGUUGUGAUCCUUUGUUUCUGAUAUAAAUGAAUAUGCAUGAUUAUUUAAAUAUGCACAGCAAAAGACCUCAGAGAAGAAAAACAAACCCAAGAUGCCUGUGAUUCUUUAGACCCACAAUGUUUUAUAGGUGUUUUGGAGAGAACUAGGACUGGAAGAUCAGGUUUAACUUUAUUCCUGUGUGGUCUUGAAAAAAAUAAUUUGAGCUGGUAGUUAGUUCCCACUGUCAGUUGAAUGAAAUAAAUAAAUCUCACUUUACC
This is a long non-coding RNA of Pan troglodytes (chimpanzee), 1262 nucleotides long. RefSeq lists it as uncharacterized. Lineage: Eukaryota; Metazoa; Chordata; Mammalia; Primates; Hominidae. The transcript is spliced from 3 exons. The record is from RefSeq and is a predicted model, not a curated record.